CCUACGGGGGGCAGCAGUGGGGAAUAUUGCGCAAUGGGGGCAACCCUGACGCAGCAACGCCGCGUGAUUGAAGAAGGCCUUCGGGUUGUAAAGAUCUUUAAUCAGGGACGAAAAAUGACGGUACCUGAAGAAUAAGCGCCGGCUAACUACGUGCCAGCAGCCGCGGUAAUACGUAGGGAGCAAGAGUUAUCCGGAUUUACUGGGUGUAAAGGGCGUGUAGGCGGGCCUGUAAGUCGGAAGUGAAAUCUGGGGGCUUAACCCCCAAACUGCUUUUGAAACUGCGGGUCUUGAGUGAUGUAGAGGCAGGCGGAAUUCCCAGUGUAGCGGUGAAAUGCGUAGAUAUUUGGGGGAACACCAGUGGCGAAGGCGGCCUGCGGGACAUUAACUGACGCUGAGGCGCGAAAGCGUGGGGAGCAAACAGGAUUAGAUACCCUUGUAGUC
This 441-nucleotide ribosomal RNA is filed under the name uncultured bacterium. RNAcentral describes it as "partial 16S ribosomal RNA". It matches the Rfam family "Bacterial small subunit ribosomal RNA", at positions 338 to 795 of the family's 1533-position model. The record is from RNAcentral.